GACGAACGCUGGCGGCGUGCCUAAUACAUGCAAGUAGAAUGCUGAAGAGAGGAGCUUGCUCUUCUUGGAAGAGUUGCGAACGGGUGAGUAACGCGUAGGUAACCUGCCUUGUAGCGGGGGAUAACUAUUGGAAACGAUAGCUAAUACCGCAUAACAAUGGGUGACCCAUGUCAUUCAUUUGAAAGGGGCAACUGCUCCACUACAAGAUGGACCUGCGUUGUAUUAGCUAGUAGGUGAGGUAACGGCUCACCUAGGCGACGAUACAUAGCCGACCUGAGAGGGUGAUCGGCCACACUGGGACUGAGACACGGCCCAGACUCCUACGGGAGGCAGCGGUAGGGAAUCUUCGGCAAUGGGGGCAACCCUGACCGAGCAACGCCGCGUGAGUGAAGAAGGUUUUCGGAUCGUAAAGCUCUGUUGUAAGUCAAGAACGAGUGUGAGAGUGGAAAGUUCACACUGUGACGGUAGCUUACCAGAAAGGGACGGCUAACUACGUGCCAGCAGCCGCGGUAAUACGUAGGUCCCGAGCGUUGUCCGGAUUUAUUGGGCGUAAAGCGAGCGCAGGCGGUUUGAUAAGUCUGAAGUUAAAGGCUGUGGCUCAACCAUAGUUUGCUUUGGAAACUGUCAAACUUGAGUGCAGAAGGGGAGAGUGGAAUUCCAUGUGUAGCGGUGAAAUGCGUAGAUAUAUGGAGGAACACCGGUGGCGAAAGCGGCUCUCUGGUCUGUAACUGACGCUGAGGCUCGAAAGCGUGGGGAGCGAACAGG
RNAcentral lists this ribosomal RNA (765 nucleotides) under uncultured Streptococcus sp. RNAcentral describes it as "bacterial SSU rRNA". It matches the Rfam family "Bacterial small subunit ribosomal RNA", at positions 28 to 776 of the family's 1533-position model. The record is from RNAcentral. Lineage: Bacteria; Bacillati; Bacillota; Bacilli; Lactobacillales; Streptococcaceae.